RNAcentral lists this long non-coding RNA (594 nucleotides) under Homo sapiens (human). RNAcentral describes it as "non-protein coding lnc-BLCAP-1:3". The record is from RNAcentral. Lineage: Eukaryota; Metazoa; Chordata; Mammalia; Primates; Hominidae.
GAUCUCAGAUACCUGGAACCACUGACUUUUGAACUUUUCAUUACUUGAAAUAAAUGUUCUUGUUGCUUAGCCACUUUUAGGUGAUAUAUUACGUUCUGGUGAAAGCAUUCUUCCUAAUACAAGCUGAGAGCUUACAGCUAGGAGACAACCUCCAGGAGCAGAGAUCACACACUCUCGGGCAGAAAAACAGCUUCUGUAUUCUUCCCUGUUUACCAUUCUGGCAUCAAUUUCAAGUGCUCAGUCCCUCAAGCUCUUUCCUCUUUACAAAAGCCCGGCUACUGCAACAAAGCAUCCUGUCUGCUGUAAGUUUCAAGAGACUCUUUGAAACUACUGACCAUCUUUCUCACUGCAUUCAUGCUGCAACAACCCAAAUCCUGCAAAGCUCUGACUGAAUCAGGAAAAAGUGACCUUGGUAGCUAGUCUCCAAAGAUGGCCACCACCAAUACUUGCCUUCCUGCGAUAUAUAUCAUACUCCUUGUAUCAGGAAGAGAAGUGUAAUUCCCUCCCCAUGAAUCUAGGCUGGCCUUAGUGACUUUCUUGGCCAAUAGAAUAUAGCAGAAGGCACAUUCUGGGAUUUGUAAGACUAGGUCGCAG